RNAcentral lists this long non-coding RNA (548 nucleotides) under Mus caroli (Ryukyu mouse). RNAcentral's name for it is "lncRNA (MGP_CAROLIEiJ_G0004692.1)". Lineage: Eukaryota; Metazoa; Chordata; Mammalia; Rodentia; Muridae. The record is from RNAcentral.
AGCUAGCCUUUAGAUUUGUCUGUUAACAGUAGAAAUGCUAUAAUAAAUCGGUAACAUAUGUUGCCAGGCAGGGAAAAGUGGUAGACAAGAGCCUGGGAGACCAAGCCAAAUUGCUUUCUUACCCAAAUUAUCUCCGUGAUUGCCUGCCCUGAGGCUUUGGGCCAAUGCAAACUACAGAAUGGCAAGUCUUACAAUCUCGUCUCCUUGUCUGGCAUCCAUCCUCCUUCCAGAAUGAACAGAGGUAUAUCCAUAAACACUGGACCUCGAUUUCACAGCCUCAUCCAAAGCCAGGCAAUUCUUGAGGCAAACAAACAAAGGGGUGUGAGUGAUUUCAUUUAUUUUGAUAAUCCUCUGUCUGCACAGGGGCACUUUGCUGUCUUUGUCAAAGUGAAUGACAACAAUUUGGCCAACUCUCUCUGAGCUGCACUCAACAGUGACAGGCAAAUUAUCAGAGGCCCUGCACUUCUUAUUAUCAGAGGAGAAGCCAUCAGGGGGACGCAGGGAGGAUGCCUCUCCCUUGUCACUAUUUGUCAGUGGGACAAGGGCCA